RNAcentral lists this ribosomal RNA (751 nucleotides) under Bacillus sp. UST050418-711. Its description in RNAcentral is "bacterial SSU rRNA". It matches the Rfam family "Bacterial small subunit ribosomal RNA", at positions 34 to 766 of the family's 1533-position model. Lineage: Bacteria; Bacillati; Bacillota; Bacilli; Caryophanales; Bacillaceae. The record is from RNAcentral.
AGCUGGCGGCGUGCUAUACUGCAAGUCGUUNCAGACAGAAUGGGAGCUUGCUCCCGGAUGUUAGUCGGCGGACGGGUGAGUAACACGUGGGUAACCUGCCUGUAAGACUGGGAUAACUCCGGGAAACCGGAGCUAAUACCGGAUAGUUCCUUGAACCGCAUGGUUCAAGGAUGAAAGACGGUUUCGGCUGUCACUUACAGAUGGACCCGCGGCGCAUUAGCUAGUUGGUGAGGUAACGGCUCACCAAGGCGACGAUGCGUAGCCGACCUGAGAGGGUGAUCGGCCACACUGGGACUGAGACACGGCCCAGACUCCUACGGGAGGCAGCAGUAGGGAAUCUUCCGCAAUGGACGAAAGUCUGACGGAGCAACGCCGCGUGAGUGAUGAAGGUUUUCGGAUCGUAAAGCUCUGUUGUUAGGGAAGAACAAGUGCAAGAGUAACUGCUUGCACCUUGACGGUACCUAACCAGAAAGCCACGGCUAACUACGUGCCAGCAGCCGCGGUAAUACGUAGGUGGCAAGCGUUGUCCGGAAUUAUUGGGCGUAAAGGGCUCGCAGGCGGUUUCUUAAGUCUGAUGUGAAAGCCCCCGGCUCAACCGGGGAGGGUCAUUGGAAACUGGGAAACUUGAGUGCAGAAGANGAGAGUGGAAUUCCACGUUGUAGCGGUGAAAUGCGUAGAGAUGUGGAGGAACACCAGUGGCGAAAGGCGACUCUCUGGGUCUGUAACUGACGCUGAGAGCGAAAGCGUGGGG